GCGGCAGGCCUAACACAUGCAAGUCGAACGGUAACAGGAAAAAGCUUGCUUUUUUGCUGCGAGUGGCGGACGGGUGAGUAAUGUCUGGGAAACUGCCUGAUGGAGGGGGAUAACUACUGGAAACGGUAGCUAAUACCGCAUAACGUCGCAAGACCAAAGAGGGGGACCUUCGGGCCUCUUGCCAUCGGAUGUGCCCAGAUGGGAUUAGCUAGUAGGUGGGGUAACGGCUCACCUAGGCGACGAUCCCUAGCUGGUCUGAGAGGAUGACCAGCCACACUGGAACUGAGACACGGUCCAGACUCCUACGGGAGGCAGCAGUGGGGAAUAUUGCACAAUGGGCGCAAGCCUGAUGCAGCCAUGCCGCGUGUAUGAAGAAGGCCUUCGGGUUGUAAAGUACUUUCAGCGGGGAGGAAGGGAGUAAAGUUAAUACCUUUCUCAUGACGUACUCGCAGA
Molecule: ribosomal RNA, 453 nt
Filed under: Escherichia coli
Lineage: Bacteria; Pseudomonadati; Pseudomonadota; Gammaproteobacteria; Enterobacterales; Enterobacteriaceae
Description: bacterial SSU rRNA
Rfam family: Bacterial small subunit ribosomal RNA
Source: RNAcentral